This 426-nucleotide ribosomal RNA is filed under the name uncultured bacterium. Its description in RNAcentral is "bacterial SSU rRNA". It matches the Rfam family "Bacterial small subunit ribosomal RNA", at positions 354 to 796 of the family's 1533-position model. The record is from RNAcentral.
GUAGGGAAUAUUGCACAAUGGGCGAAAGCCUGAUGCAGCAACGCCGCGUGCGCGAUGAAGGCCUUCGGGUUGUAAAGCGCUUUUCGGGGAGAUGAGGAAGGACAGUAUCCCCGGAAUAAGGCUCGGCUAACUACGUGCCAGCAGCCGCGGUAACACGUAGGAGCCAAGCGUUAUCCGAAUUCACUGGGCGUAAAGCGCGUGCAGGCGGCUCGGUAAGUUGGAUGUGAAAUCUCCUGGCUCAACUGGGAGAGGACGUUCAAUACUGUCGGGCUAGAGGACGGCAGAGGGAGGUGGAAUUCCCGGUGUAGUGGUGAAAUGCGUAGAUAUCGGGAGGAACACCAGUGGCGAAAGCGGCCUCCUGGGCCGUUCCUGACGCUCAGAUGCGAAAGCUAGGGGAGCGAACGGGAUUAGAUACCCCAGUAGUCC